RNAcentral lists this ribosomal RNA (443 nucleotides) under uncultured bacterium. RNAcentral's name for it is "partial 16S ribosomal RNA". It matches the Rfam family "Bacterial small subunit ribosomal RNA", at positions 338 to 795 of the family's 1533-position model. The record is from RNAcentral.
CCUACGGGUGGCAGCAGUGGGGAAUAUUGGGCAAUGGGCGCAAGCCUGACCCAGCAACGCCGCGUGAAGGAAGAAGGCUUUAGGGUUGUAAACUUCUUUUCUGAGGGACGAGGAAAGUGACGGUACCUCAGGAAUAAGCCACGGCUAACUACGUGCCAGCAGCCGCGGUAAUACGUAGGUGGCAAGCGUUAUCCGGAUGUAUUGGGUGUAAAGGGCGUGUAGGCGGGAAAGCAAGUCAGAUGUGAAAACUCAGGGCUCAACCCUGAGCCUGCAUUUGAAACUGUUUUUCUUGAGUGCUGGAGAGGCAAUCGGAAUGCCGGGGGUAGCGGUGAAAUGCGUAGAUAUACGGAGGAACACCAGUGGCGAAGGCGGAUUGCUGGACAGUAACUGACGCUGAGGCGCGAAAGCGUGGGUAGCGAACAGGAUUAGAUACCCCUGUAGUC